Molecule: non-coding RNA, 30 nt
Filed under: Rattus norvegicus (Norway rat)
Lineage: Eukaryota; Metazoa; Chordata; Mammalia; Rodentia; Muridae
Source: RNAcentral
GGAGACCCAAACCCCAGUUCAGAUGAGCCA